Molecule: ribosomal RNA, 550 nt
Filed under: uncultured bacterium
Lineage: Bacteria
Description: bacterial SSU rRNA
Rfam family: Bacterial small subunit ribosomal RNA
Source: RNAcentral
AAUGUACCCUUCUCUAAGGAAUAGCCUCUGGAAACGGAGAGUAAUACCUUAUACGCCCUUCGGGGGAAAGAUUUAUCGGAGAGGGAUCAGCCCGCGUUAGAUUAGAUAGUUGGUGGGGUAACGGCCUACCAAGUCUACGAUCUAUAGCUGGUUUUAGAGGAUGAUCAGCAACACUGGGACUGAGACACGGCCCAGACUCCUGCGGGAGGCAGCAGUGGGGAAUCUUGGACAAUGGGCGCAAGCCUGAUCCAGCCAUGCCGCGUGAGUGAUGAAGGCCUUAGGGUCGUAAAGCUCUUUCGCCAGGGAUGAUAAUGACAGUACCUGGUAAAGAAACCCCGGCUAACUCCGUGCCAGCAGCCGCGGUAAUACGGAGGGGGUUAGCGUUGUUCGGAAUUACUGGGCGUAAAGCGCGCGUAGGCGGGUUGUUAAGUUAGAGGUGAAAUCCCGGGGCUCAACCCCGGAACUGCCUUUAAUACUGGCAACCUAGAGUUCGAGAGAGGUGAGUGGAAUUCCGAGUGUAGAGGUGAAAUUCGUAGAUAUUCGGAGGAAC